RNAcentral lists this ribosomal RNA (427 nucleotides) under uncultured bacterium. RNAcentral's name for it is "bacterial SSU rRNA". It matches the Rfam family "Bacterial small subunit ribosomal RNA", at positions 355 to 775 of the family's 1533-position model. The record is from RNAcentral.
UCGAGAAUUUUUCUCAAUGGGCGAAAGCCUGAAGGAGCGACGCCGCGUGGGGGAUGAAGGGCUUCGGCUCGUAAACCCCUGUCAUUUGCGAACAAACCUUUUCACUUAACACGUGAAAAGCUGAUUGUAGCGAAAGAGGAAGGGACGGCUAACUCUGUGCCAGCAGCCGCGGUAAUACAGAGGUCCCAAGCGUUGUUCGGAUUCACUGGGCGUAAAGGGUGCGUAGGUGGCGGGGUCAGUCUGACGUGAAAUCUCCGGGCUUAACCCGGAAAUGGCGUUGGAAACUACCUUGCUUGAGGGUUGGAGGGGGGACUGGAAUACUUGGUGUAGCAGUGAAAUGCGUAGAUAUCAAGUGGAACACCAGUGGCGAAGGCGAGUCCCUGGACAACUCCUGACACUGAGGCACGAAAGCUAGGGGAGCAAACGG